This 397-nucleotide ribosomal RNA is filed under the name uncultured bacterium. RNAcentral describes it as "partial 16S ribosomal RNA". It matches the Rfam family "Bacterial small subunit ribosomal RNA", at positions 338 to 732 of the family's 1533-position model. The record is from RNAcentral.
CCUACGGGAGGCAGCAGUGAGGAAUAUUGGUCAAUGGGCUUACGCCUGAACCAGCCAAGUCGCGUGAGGGAAGACUGCCCUAUGGGUUGUAAACCUCUUUUGUCAGGGAGCAAUUGGCACUACGUGUAGCGUUAUCGAUAGUACCUGCAGAAAAAGCAUCGGCUAACUCCGUACCGGCAGCCGCGUUAAUAGGGGGGAUGAGAGCGUUAUCCGAUUUUAUGGGGUUUACAGGUUGCGUAGGGGGAAUGCCAAUUCAGCGGUAAAAUCGCGGGCUUAAACCUCGCUUUGCAGUUGAUACUGGCGUGCUUGAGUGUGCUAGAGGUAUGUGGAAUGCGUGGUGUAGCGGUGAAAUGCGUAGAGAUCACGAAGAAUACCGAUUGCGAAGGCAGCAUACUGG